AUUGAACGCUGGCGGCAUGCCUAACACAUGCAAGUCGAACGCGAAAGUCCCUCGGGGCGAGUAGAGUGGCGGACGGGUGAGUAAUACGUGGGAAUCUACCUGGUAGUGGGGGACAACCCGGGGAAACUCGGGCUAAUACCGCAUACGUCCUACGGGACAAAGGGGGCCUCUGCUUGCAAGCUCUCGCUACCAGAUGAGCCCACGUCCGAUUAGCUAGUUGGUAGGGUAAAGGCUUACCAAGGCGACGAUCGGUAGCUGGUUUGAGAGGAUGGCCAGCCACACUGGGACUGAGACACGGCCCAGACUCCUACGGGAGGCAGCAGUGGGGAAUAUUGGACAAUGGGCGCAAGCCUGAUCCAGCAAUGCCGCGUGUGUGAAGAAGGC
Molecule: ribosomal RNA, 384 nt
Filed under: uncultured bacterium
Lineage: Bacteria
Description: bacterial SSU rRNA
Rfam family: Bacterial small subunit ribosomal RNA
Source: RNAcentral